AUAGAGGGAGAUACGUAGAGUCAACACCAAUAGGUUAUAGAGGGAGAUAUGUAGAGUCAACACCACUCUGACAUCAAUAGGUUAUAGAGGGAGAUACGUAGAGUCAACACCACUCUGACACCAAUAGGUUAUAGAGGGAGAUAUGUAG
Molecule: non-coding RNA, 148 nt
Organism: Oncorhynchus mykiss (rainbow trout)
Lineage: Eukaryota; Metazoa; Chordata; Actinopteri; Salmoniformes; Salmonidae
Source: RefSeq, a predicted model, not a curated record